ACGGGUGAGGAACACGUAGGAACCUGCCCAAGAGAGGGGGAUAACUAAGGGAAACUUUAGCUAAUACCGCAUAAUCUCUGAGGAGAAAAGCUGCCCGCAAGGGUAGCGCUUUUGGAGGGGCCUGCGUCCGAUUAGCUAGUUGGUGAGGUAAGAGCUCACCAAGGCGAUGAUCGGUAACUGGUCUGAGAGGACGACCAGUCACACUGGGACUGAGACACGGCCCAGACUCCUACGGGAGGCAGCAGUGGGGAAUCUUGGACAAUGGGGGCAACCCUGAUCCAGCGAUGCCGCGUGGGUGAAGAAGGCCUUCGGGCUGUAAAGCCCUUUAGGCUGGGAAGAAGUGUGCGGGAUGAAUAAUCCUGUAUGUUGACGGUACCAGCAGAAUAAGCACCGGCAAACUCUGUGCCAGCAGCCGCGGUAAUACAGAGGGUGUAAGCGUUAAUCGGAUUUACUGGGCGUAAAGGGCGCGUAGGCGGUUGAGUGAGUGUGAUGUGAAAGCCCCGGGCUUAACCUGGGAAGUGCAUCGCAAACGACUUAACUGGAGUAGGUGAGGGGGUGGCGGAAUUUCCGGUGUAGC
RNAcentral lists this ribosomal RNA (577 nucleotides) under uncultured Aquicella sp. Its description in RNAcentral is "bacterial SSU rRNA". It matches the Rfam family "Bacterial small subunit ribosomal RNA", at positions 102 to 679 of the family's 1533-position model. The record is from RNAcentral. Lineage: Bacteria; Pseudomonadati; Pseudomonadota; Gammaproteobacteria; Legionellales; Coxiellaceae.